GCUAUGAUGACAUUUUUUCACCUGAUCAGUUUUGAGCUGAUUGUUCAUUUGUUCUCUAAGAAGUUCUGAGCCU
Electrophorus electricus (electric eel) is the source of this 73-nucleotide small nucleolar RNA. RefSeq annotates it as small nucleolar RNA SNORD61. The record is from RefSeq and is a predicted model, not a curated record. Lineage: Eukaryota; Metazoa; Chordata; Actinopteri; Gymnotiformes; Gymnotidae.